Molecule: non-coding RNA, 7624 nt
Organism: Dermacentor andersoni
Lineage: Eukaryota; Metazoa; Arthropoda; Arachnida; Ixodida; Ixodidae
Source: RefSeq, a predicted model, not a curated record
UUGCACCUCGUGUGAGUACGUUGUCGUCGAGUGGUGGUUCUUUAUUCUAUGGAGUGGUUCUGAAAGCGCUGCUUUAGGGGCGACUGCAACCAGACGUUGCGGCAAGUUACGGUGGGAACUUCUGUCCGUGCUGUGUGAUUGCGACGAGGAGGACCGCCACCAGCAGCGGCGUGUCGCCGAUUUCGUCUUUGCCGACAUCGAGCAAGUGCAGCUCGCUGGACCGUCACAAGCGCCGGAAGUGUUGCGUUUGGCACUGCGUUUUCCUUCUGAUAUGGGAGAUCGCAACGCAGAGACGACCAGAUGCAUACGAAAGACUACCAGCGGAGAGUGACCUGUGCCAUAUUUCUCUUAACGUCUCAGGUAUUCAAGAAAUGCCAACAUUCAGAAGAAGACGCCAUCUUAUCCAGCACGUUUUGGGUGAGACAGAUCGUAGUAGGCACUUUCGCAUAUCUCAUGAGCAUAUGAUGCUAUGUGUUGUAAUUUUUGUGUCCACUUUCCUGGCCUUUAUUCAUUUCAGCAUUAUUGUGCAAAGGGUAAUAAUAUUACAUCGAGAUAGAGUAAUUGUCCAAAGGAGAGACAUGGCUGGAGGAGACGACACACAUAAGCCUCCUUUGUCCCUAUCUCUGUGUUGCGCAAUUACUCUGUCGUUAUCUACCAAGAAACCUAAGUUCUUCAUCAGCUUCAUUUACUGAUUCUCCGUUAUUACAAUUUAAUUGAUACAACAUUGAAAGUACAGAGGUACACAGGAAGACAGAGACUUGAAAUGAUGAAGAGCCGUAGAACAAGGAGCACCGCUGGAGCCAACGUUUCGACAAAGAGAAGGAGACGAGUUUUCUUGUCAAGAUAUCGGCUCCAGUAAAAUUUCUUGUUCUAUCACUAUUUACGAUUAAAAGACAGCAUUAUUGAUCUUGCUGAAGUAUUGUGCAUUAUGGAAUAAAAAUUAGCAGGGCGAAAUGUCAGGAAUAUGAAAUUUCUUGUGUAUUUUAAUGCUACAGCGAAAGCCAGAAAAACAAGAUGUAGAGAACCACAUUGUUAUUUGUCACUACCCAGUUUGGCCAGCUUCAUUCAGAGCUUCCACUUUGUUGCAUUAACGACCACUGGAAUUCAUUAACUGAAUUGCUCCGUGAUUUACUUAUGUUUAGAGAUGUUGAACUUGUUUUAAUGCAGCUUAACAUAGUGCGUGUAAAAAACAUACAAUGACAUUUUAAGAGGCUUGCAGUUGACUAGCAGAUCACUUGAUGGUAUGAGCUCAGGUUUCCACUGAUCUUCCAUGCACAAAUCGGAUGCACAUUCUUUUUUUUUCAUUGCUUGUAUUUUCAUAAACAUAAGUACCAUUUCUUCUUUGUCGACGUUCUAGUUGUGUUGUAGGACCUAACUGUUUGCAUUUAUUUGUAUUGGUAUCCAUGUUACACAGACAGCUGAAUUUUUCUUGUAAAUUGUGACAUGGUAGGACUAAGAGCAUUUGUGCAAAUUUGCUGCAGGUACAGUCUGAUGGCUCCCGCUCUGCAUCCUACCACCACCGUGUCCUGACUACGUCCACAAGGGAGUUGGCAGCCUUCGUGAUGAUGCCAAGCAGGCUGGAAGCCGACAGAAAGAUUAAGGUUGCCUCGACAUUUUACCCAAGCCGUGCCACAUACUCGGGCCAGGCCUCUUGCAAACGACGUAUAACCAGGCUCAACGCAUGAGUGUCGAGUGAGUCCGGAGAUCAAGGCAACCUGCUGUGCAACCAGCGUGCAAUCUUUGGUGACCCCUCUACAUGUUCCAGCUAUUUCACAGUUGUACCUCAUCUCCCACCUAUCAAAACAGCAUCACCAGCUGUGGUCACUCAUCGAACCAUGGAUGGGUUGGGGUGGAGUGAUUUGAAGAGACAUUCUAUUCGUCUCUUCAACUUCUUAGCAGAUGCUUGUGUUAUUAUAAUUCAUAUCUGUCUUUAGUACCUAGUUUUUAAUGGUUCCUUUCUAUUAGAAUUCUCACCAUCGAGUCCUGCUAUUAUAAUGUAUGUCUGUGUUUAUGCCUAGUUUUUCGUAGUUCUUUUGUACUUGUGUAUGUAAUUAAUAGGUUCAUAAUUCUUGUUAUACAGAAGGCUAAAAUGCAAACUUAUGGCAUUUUUUUCUUCAUUUUGACAAUCUACAGCACUGCAAAGUGUUCAAGAAAUGUAACCUAACGUGGGCUCUGGUGCAGGAAAAAUUUAAGAGCAAUAUAGGGUACUUAUUUCAAACACCCAUUAUUUUUUGAAAAGUCAAGAAUAUAGGAGCACAGAAAGGAAAAUAUUAAACUAGAGAAACAUGAGUUCCCCUCAUAAGUCUGAUAAUAAUGUGACUUCCUUUCACUGCAAAGAUACCAGUAAUACUCGCAUGCAAGGUUUGAGACACGAAAGCUAUGAUGCCCUUGGCAUUUCUCAGUGCCCAUUUGCCACACUGACGAAUGUCAAAGGCAUCGUAGAUUUCAUGCACACCUUGAUUGUGUUACACUUUUGAGUAUUGCAUUUCUCAAACAAAGGUUUACAGCAGUGCUUUAAAUAGCAAAUGCUUUUCCUAAUUUAUUAGUGCAAGAGUAACCGUACAGAUCAUUUAAAAAUUAUUUUACGGACUAUAUGUCCAUGGAUGCACGCUUCUGAUGACAUAGCAGUGACGUGGUCGUGGGAUGAAUGCCUUUAUUUCAGAUUGAAGUAUUGGCUUCCAGGUCUGGGUUAGUCUCCUACACUGAGUAGUCUAGGUCAGAGCCCAUUUACUGGAGCAAGUGAAAUAAACUAGGAAUUAUAAACAUCAAAAGAUCUUCUUUAGGACACUAAUGUGACAAUGAGCAAGAUUCUUUGGGUAUUCAUUUCCAUAUUUGUGAGGAUAUAUUUUGUGACUGGUUUCAUUAUUGUGAGAACAAAUGUUUGUGUAUUGUCACACUAGAGUUGGCUGCCCUCAUUUGUAUACAACACCUUUACAGGCUAAAAACUCAGUGUUACCCUAUUUACUCGCAUAAUGAUCGCACUCUUUUGUAAAAAAAAAUUGACUCAAAUUCAGGGGUGCGAUCAUUACGCGGGUUAAAUUCCCCGCAAAAAGAAAAAAAAAAUCAUCUGCCAUUUGCUACGGAAUGACAACAGGUCAACAAAUAGGCGGCUGCCACUGUAUGUAGUGCGGGACACACACAAAAAAAAAAAAAUGGUGCCCGGCAGAGCAAGCCGAACGCGCCGAACGCGAUUUUUUUUCUUCUCGUGAGUACAUUAGGUGCAUUCAAACAGUUUCUUCCGUAUCAGUAAUGAAUAAUAUCGGCAAGAAACAGAUCGGCGCGCUUAGCGGCCAGUGACAUAGGAACACAUGGCGGGCAUGCUGCAGAAACUGCGGCAUUUGUCUUCACCACUAUCCUAAUAUGGCACGUUUCCGCUAAGGGUGGGCGAAUAUCUUAGCUGCGUUACAAACGGCGGUGAAUGAACAAGGGUGUACUUCUAACGCAUCAGUGUAAACGUGGCUGCUAUCAUUGCCGCUCGCGAUUUGUUGCGUGCCCACGAGUGCAGACGAGAAGAAUCGAAAGACGCCUUUUUUGUUGUUUUUGUUGAUCACAACCAUUAUAAAGCCUACACAUAACCAAGGCAAGUUUGGUUGUAGCUUUUUUUUGUCAUAGAAGUGCGGAAAGUGAUGAAAGGAAUGAAAUGGGGCAUCUGCUUAAGAAUGUUUGGUGCGUGCGGACCGCUUGGUUUGUCUUGAAGAGUUGUUCGCAUAGCAGUCGACAGAUGGUAAGCACGACCAUUAUUAACUAUACUUGGCACAUGACAUGUCGCUGCGGCAAGUUCGGGGUGCAAUCAUUACACGGGAAAUAAAAAAAAUCGAAUUUUGACGACAAAAUUUAGGGGGCGAUCAUUACGCGAUUGCGAUCAUUAUGCGAGUAAAUACGGUAAUAGGCUGUUUUUGGUUUUGCGCACUCACUGUUAAGGGAUGCAAAUGGUGACAUACAACAGAAUGCAAAAAUGACUAAGGAAUGCAAGCAAGGCGUGGCGCUUUUUAGGCAGAUGCGUGCGUGUGCUAUUUAUAAAGCUCCCCAUGGUAUGCCUGAAGGCGUUUUCUAGCACUUUGGUAGAAUACACUGACACCCACUUACUGAGGGGAAACGCUCCUCGAAAAACUUUUUUAUAUAUUUGUACUAGAGAUUUGAAUAUACUGUUAUUCAUAAAGUAUUUUAUUAGAUUUGAAUUCUCAUUGAUUUUUGUGUAGCUGCUAUAUUUUAGUUAUGUCCUACACAGUGGCAAAAUAUUAUUGUGGGCACUUUCUUGUGUAUAAAAUUUUCAGAAAUAGCUUCAUGCUAUAUCUUAUUCAGCUAGUUGUAUACUGCAAAGUGGUGAUACCUAUCCAGACGGCUUGUACAAUUACUGGAACAAUGCAAAAAUAUUAAGCCACUUUAAAUAAUUUUAGAUUGCAAUUUCAGUUACAUAUCAGCGUUCUGCAUAUCUUUAAGAGUACGUAUGCCAAAUUUCGUCAGUAUAGGACAAUUAUAAGUGCAUAAGGUUAUUCUCAUGCUAUUGUGAGAAAAUGUUUUUGAAGGAUAUUCAAUAAUUUUUUCCAAUAGCAUGAGAAGUAUGCAAUAUUAGUAGGCAGGCCUGUCUGCCUGCCUGCUAAUCUUGCAUACUUCUAGUACCUUUACCUGCUGUUUGAAUAGAUAUCGGCACUUUGCAGUCUACAAAGAGCUGUGUUAGCUACAGCACACUGCUUUUUGUGAAAAUUUAGUACACAAGAAAGUGCCCGCAAAGAUCACUGUAUUUUCCCAUUGUGUAGGACAUAACUCAAGAAGCAGCUAAAAAAUUACUAAUGACAUAUAUGAAAUCUGCAUGAACUCUACAAUUUGCUCUCUUUUCAAACCUGUAGUAGAAAUAAUAAAACUGUUUCGAGUAAUAUUCAAUCAGCAAAACAUGCCCCUUGCUAUAGUGACCUACAACAUAGCGACGCAAAGUUGAAGGCAAAUCCUUUUGUCGAAGCGACUCUUGGCUUUCUUCCCAGGGACUGCUGUUAAACACCGAAUUUUUCUGCAUUUGCCAGAAGUGCAAUACUAAAACGUUUGUAAAUGUGCAAUUGGUAUUGGCGCACCAACAAAAAAAAAAAACAGUUCUGUGAAAUGCAUAAUCGACUAUAACUUUGUUCGACAUUUACAUUCUGACUCCACAUCUUUGUUUUGUUUUAUGUACUGAGUGUUUCAGCAGUGACUGCCGCUAAAAAUUGAAGAUGACUGUUUCAUGACAAUGCGACAAUUUUCUCUAACAUAAGUUUAUAGCAGUGGCAGGCAUUAUAAUUACAGUAGUCAAUAACGUCUAGUUUGUAAGAACUCAGACUAGCACCAGUUCUGAGAUACACAACCCAAAAAAGCAAUGAUGAAAUAGGUCUAUCUUCCACAUAGAAUUGUCCCACAAGGCUUACAAAAUGUUUUGUUGCAAAGUAAUAUCUGUAACAGCAAGGCAUGUUCCACCAAGUAUGGCGAUAAAUAUUUCAGAGCUGUCAGUCUGAGGACUCCUACAAACUAACAAUACCUUCAGCACUGACUAGCCUCAAUAAUGGGAUGUCAGCCAUACUGCUGAAAUUAAUAAAACUUCAAUUAUUGUGAUCUUGUUUAAGAAGAAAUUUGCAAUUAUGUUGCAGUUCUAAUCUCUGUCACUUUUGUAAAUAUUUUCCAAUUAUUUUUUCAGACUAGAAUUUUUGGUAACAGAGGUAUUCAUUUACAGAGAGCUAGUGCAUGGCAUUUUAUAAUAAACAUACUGGUCAUUGUAGACUUCCUGUCUUCAGCAUUUGUUCUGUUGCACAGCUGUUUCUUGAAAUAUGAAAUGAUGUGCCCGCCUCCUUAUGGUAGCAAGAAACAGGGAAAUCUGUCAUUAUGUUUUGUUUAAAAUACAGCUGAUCAACCCGAUAGUUAGGCUGUUUGCUAAUUAUAAAUUAUAACGAUAAUAGUGCAGGACCAUAAAAACAGAUUGAUGCUGACUCACAACUAUGCCCAGCUACAUCCACGCAGCUGUGCAUUACAAUGUGCAUGUGUUCAGAAGAGCCAAAUGCCCCAGAGAGAAAGAAACAGUAACUGAUUGUUUGUCAUCUUGUACAAGCAGAUUACGGGCUAGGUGUAAUUUAUGCUCAGUAAAUGCAUAAAUCAGUCAUGUGAGGUGUCUUACUUUAGGUUGAAAGUUCGAAGUUCUUGUAAUCUUGCUUGUUCUUAUUUUGUUGCCUUUGUGAGCAUGGGUGACUUGGUUGCCUUCGCACAUAUUCUCAAAACUGUUUCUUCAUCACUGGGAAUCACGAAAUUUAAUUUACAUAUAAAAUUCUCAGUUAACAAUUUGGUAGGCUUCGAGCUUAAUGCUCUUAUCUUUUAUAUGUUUAUCUACCAAGUAGUCUUAUCGUUCAUUGAAACAUAUCCACGCAAUGCACAGUGGGCACCCAAAUUAUUAAUAUCGGUUCUUGCUUUCUACCCUGCUCUGGUGUUUUCUAAACCUAGCAUUGGUUCAAUGGCCUGUCUGCACCUUCAGAAAAGUAUCAAAGUGGCUAAAGUUAAAGGUAAACAACAUGAUAAAGAGACACAGCAAAAAUAUAAGUUCGCAAUUGUCCCCCAUAACCAGAGUUCUGCUUAGAAAAAAAAUUGUCAUCCUGCUGUGGUGUGAGAGUUGCUUUGGGCACCAAGGGGACUACGUAGCACCUGUGCUAGUGUACACAACAAAGCAAAAAAAAAUCACUCCAGAUUGGAGCGGCAGUGGAAAGUUAAGCACAGAUGUUUUAUUUCACGCACCAUUAAUGUGGCUUAUCAUCUGCUCCUGUUGUGUGGGAACACAUACAUUUGGAAGACAAUCUUUCGUGCCAUUGUUACCUUAGCGGGACACCAGAGAAAGGUAGAAAUCGAGAACAGGUAUUCACACUUGGUUGCCCGCAGUGUAUUAUCCGGAUGUGUUUCACUCUACAAAAGACUACUGUGGUAGAUAAUCAUAAUGAAAAAGAAAAAAGAAUUAAAAGAGGUAUGUGUCAGUCAUCUGUCCGUGACCUCCAGUGUUUAUAGAAACACUUCUUUUUGUAUAUGUGCCGAGCCUUAGGGAGGCCUUACGUAACUCAGUCAUGCUUGCUAAGUUAAAGAUUGGAAUAAGGACAAUCACAAGAACAUUCCAUGAGUGAUUUGUAAAUGUGGCACCUAAUGUAACUUAUUGAUGUAUGUCCUGAGGAUAGAUUACAGCCAGUGCAUAAUGUGCUCUUACAGGAUGACUUGUGAUGAGUAAAAGAAGCCUUCCUCACAUCUUCCUCUUUGUUUCUUUUGGAUCUUUGUACACUAUGGUGUAGUGUUACAGCUGCGUGCAUGCAGCUGGGUAUAGUUUCUUUAUGUGUUCUGCUUCCUCCCUUGUCCUCAUCAUUCAUGCGCUAUCUUUGCCGUAACAAAAUACAGCUACCUGUGCUACUUAUUUUGUCAACGUGUUUGCAUUAUGGAAAGUUUUGUAUUAGCGGUUAUUUCUACCUGUGAAAUUGUCUGUGUCAGCUAUUAGACUUAUCUUGGAAAAGUAGGUUUGUCAACAUAAAUAAAUGAUCAGUAUAAGUGUUGCUCUCUUUUUGUAAUUUUGUCAGUUAUGAAGUUUUUCUACACUGUUGCAUGUGGUAUGACAGAAUAAAAUUGAUGCACAACUUUUUAA